RNAcentral lists this ribosomal RNA (253 nucleotides) under uncultured bacterium. RNAcentral's name for it is "partial 16S ribosomal RNA". It matches the Rfam family "Bacterial small subunit ribosomal RNA", at positions 524 to 776 of the family's 1533-position model. The record is from RNAcentral.
UACGGGGGGGGCAAGCGUUGUUCGGAAUUACUGGGCGUAAAGGGCUCGUAGGUGGCCAACUAAGUCAGACGUGAAAUCCCUCGGCUUAACCGGGGAACUGCAUCUGAUACUGGAUGGCUUGAGAUUGGGAGAGGGAUGCGGAAUUCCAGGUGUAGCGGUGAAAUGCGUAGAUAUCUGGAGGAACACCGGUGGCGAAGGCGGCAUCCUGGACCAACACUGACGCUGAGGAGCGAAAGCGUGGGGAGCAAACAGG